GGAGUGUAGCUUAAUCGUAGAGCAUUUGCUUUGCAAGCAUAAGGCUGCUGGUUCAAAUCCGGUCGCUUCC
RNAcentral lists this transfer RNA (70 nucleotides) under uncultured Pelagophyceae. It matches the Rfam family "tRNA". From Rfam's summary of the family: Transfer RNA (tRNA) molecules are approximately 80 nucleotides in length. Their secondary structure includes four short double-helical elements and three loops (D, anti-codon, and T loops). Lineage: Eukaryota; Pelagophyceae. The record is from RNAcentral.